Molecule: ribosomal RNA, 597 nt
Filed under: Triticum aestivum (bread wheat)
Lineage: Eukaryota; Viridiplantae; Streptophyta; Magnoliopsida; Poales; Poaceae
Description: partial small subunit ribosomal RNA
Source: RNAcentral
AUGUGUUGUGAGGAGUUCAGGAGAGGCAAUCUGCUACAUCCGUUGGAGAUGGAUUCCUUUUUCCCGGUGCUGCAGUACGCUGACGACACCCUGAUGCUGAUCAAAGGGACUGUGGAGCAAGACGCAAUCGUCAAGAGGAUGCUUAAGCGUUUCUCUGACUUCACUGAUCUGCAGAUCAACUCCAAUAAAAGCACCUUUGUGCCCAUCAACAUGGAGCAAUCUACUAGGCAGCAAGUUUCUGAGCUGUUAGAGUGUCCGGUCUCAACCUUUCCUUGUAACUACUUGGGCUUGCCGUUGUCAACAAACAAGAUCACCCAUGCGAUGUUGAUGCCAGUCAUACACCGAGUGGACAAAAGACUCUCUGGCUGGUUGGCAACCUUCUUGUCUUGGGGAGGGAGGCUUACUAUGAUAAACUCUGUACUUGCAGCUAUACCAAAUUAUUAUAUGGCCUGUUUUCUAUGGCCGAAGGAGUCCCUGGGUAAGCUUGAGCAAAUUCUCAGGGGUUUUUUGUGGCAAGGAAAGAAAUCUGCCCUUGGAGGGCAAUGCUUGUGGCCUGGGAUGUUGUUACCCUCCCCAGGGGCACUGGGGGACUCAUAA